GACGAACGCUGGCGGCGUGCCUAAUACAUGCAAGUUGAGCGCUGAAGGUUGGUACUUGUACCAACUGGAUGAGCAGCGAACGAGUGAGUAACGCGUGGGGAAUCUGCCUUUGAGCGGGGGACAACAUUUGGAAACGAAUGCUAAUACCGCAUAAAAACUUUAAACACAAGUUUUAAGUUUGAAAGAUGCAAUUGCAUCACUCAAAGAUGAUCCCGCGUUGUAUUAGCUAGUUGGUGAGGUAAAGGCUCACCAAGGCGAUGAUACAUAGCCGACCUGAGAGGGUGAUCGGCCACAUUGGGACUGAGACACGGCCCAAACUCCUACGGGAGGCAGCAGUAGGGAAUCUUCGGCAAUGGACGAAAGUCUGACCGAGCAACGCCGCGUGAGUGAAGAAGGUUGUCGGAUCGUAAAACUCUGUUGGUAGAGAAGAACGUUGGUGAGAGUGGAAAGCUCAUCAAGUGACGGUAACUACCCAGAAAGGGACGGCUAACUACGUG
This 497-nucleotide ribosomal RNA is filed under the name uncultured bacterium. RNAcentral describes it as "partial 16S ribosomal RNA". It matches the Rfam family "Bacterial small subunit ribosomal RNA", at positions 28 to 507 of the family's 1533-position model. The record is from RNAcentral.